GAUUUUUUCAUCGGCAAACAUUCCCUUAAAUCUGGAGAGAAGUUGUUCAGGGCUCAAAUUGCUAAAUCCAGAAAAUUCAGAACUAUAUUCAUUUUCGAUCUGCUCAGUAAUACGAAUAACCGCUAAAAGCAACGAGUUUACAUUAAGGAAGGUUUCAACAGAUACCUUAGAACAGGUUCUUUGGAAAAGGUUCCAAGAGAUAAUAAUGAGGAUCGAUCGUCAUGUACGUGUGAUUGACAGCAAGGCAAUUCAACCACUCCAUGGGGACAAGAUGAGAGCCUUACAGAAGCCCUAGUUAAGGGAAUGCACUUUUUAACCAAUCAGCAAACACCACAGAACGAACUGUACUUUAAAUAUUUUUAUGUUGAAUUUCUUUAGAAGUAGUUCCUCUCAGAUGAACCUGAACGCUGUCAAAUUUCAUUUACUCAAUGUUCUUCAAACUGGGUCGAGCUGACAGGUGCAAAAAAAAUCCACCAAACUUGUCUUUUCCUUCCGCUACAUACUCUUGGGAAAGUGAUUUGUUCCUAACUGCCUAAUCCUUUAAUAAUAAUUAAUUUAAUUUAAUUUUAUAAUUUUAUAAUAAUACUGUAUUAUCACUUGAUUAGAUAUGACUUACUAUUUAUAGAGGUUAACUUUAAAAAGUUGAAUAAAUUUAGAUCAACUACCUCAAUAUCAAUUCUACCUUGGAGAGUAACGUCCUUAAACAGUGGCGCCUGUAUUUUGUAAAUUAGGUAAUAUGUUCUUAUACAUCCUGGCAAUGAGUAGUGUUGAUUAAAGAGAUCAACAUAUAGACCUUACAUUACGGGUUUUCAAAAUAGUCAUUUUCCCAUUAGUGUAAAAUACGAUUAAAUCUAUUUCAGACCCUUUCUUUUAACAGGGGGUGGGGAUAUAUUUAGACCAUAUUUCAAGAAUAUACAGUACAUAUAAUUUUUCUGAUUGUUAGGGAGAUUUUCCCUGUGCAACAUGCCCCCAUGUAAUUACCUCCAUGCACCCAUCUGUGCAACAGUCAGGGUGAGCUCUGGAUCCGCAUUUGGAAUUAUUUAUUCAGACCAACCAUCACUAAAAAGUACAAGUAUCAAGUAAUAAAAAGAUAAUGAGAGAUUACAAACUCUCAUCCUGUUGUGCCAUAUGUAUGUACUGAAAAUAUAAUGGCCAGUGGUCGCUCUGCUCCAUUCGCCAA
Anneissia japonica is the source of this 1180-nucleotide long non-coding RNA. RefSeq lists it as uncharacterized. The record is from RefSeq and is a predicted model, not a curated record. Lineage: Eukaryota; Metazoa; Echinodermata; Crinoidea; Comatulida; Comatulidae. The transcript has 3 exons.